This is a long non-coding RNA of Sapajus apella (tufted capuchin), 5466 nucleotides long. RefSeq lists it as uncharacterized. NCBI's taxonomy places the organism in Eukaryota, Metazoa, Chordata, Mammalia, Primates, Cebidae. The record is from RefSeq and is a predicted model, not a curated record. The transcript has 2 exons.
UUAAAAAAUGAGGAGCUACUGCUUUUCUUCAUCCCUGACCUAAAUAAAUAAAGAGGCAACUUAAUAGCAUGGUAUAGUGCAGUUUUGGCAAAUACUUUCUGUAAAGGGCCAGAUAUUUUAAAUUUUUACACUUAAACAUUUUAACCUUUGUGGGCAUGAGAAAAACGUGAGAAACAUGAGAAAAUGACCAGCUAGACCUAGGGACAGUCUACAGUACACAGUCUCUGGUGUAACUAUUCAAGUUGGCCAGUGUAUCGUGAGAGCAGCUAUAGGCAAUAUGUAAAUUGCCUUUUGCAAUUUAGCAACUUCUGGUGGCCCCUAGACAGCUUCAGGAUGGGGCUGGUUGCCAAAGGAACCAACCGUGUAAUUAGAGAGGAAAGCUGUGUUCCAGUAAGCUUAUGGACACUGAAAUUUGAAUUUAAUGUAAUUUUACGUGUCAUGAGAUAUUAUUCUUUUGAUUUUUUUCCCCAAACGUUUAAAACUACAGCCCUUAUAAAAGCAGGUGCUGGGAUAGAUUUGGCCCCCAGACCAUUGUUUGUCGACUCCUGGUAGAGUGGAAGAAACUCAGAACAAGGAGUCAGAAGCUGUGCCUUCCAAUUCUGGUUUUACUACUUUUUAGUUUUGACAUAAUCAUUUCACUUCUAACCUCCAUUUCCCUAUCUGAAAAAUGAAUAUGGAAAGAUGGGAAACAGUAACUUGAGAGUAGAGAAAGCCGGCAGACACUACUCCAGUCAGGUGGUCAUGGUCAGCAUCAUCAGGGCUAAGGUAGGUGGUCAUGGUCAGCAUCAUCAGAGCUAAGUUGUCAUGAUAGAAUAAGAAAUAUUUGGUCUUUGUCCCUGGUUUCUGACACAGAACUUGUAUAACCCUUGGAAUGUCCUAAGUGACAGGCAUAAUAGGAUUAUUUUCUAUUAUUCAUAACAAGCCCCUUCAGCCUUACCUGAGGUUCUGCUAAUGAGAUGAUUUUUGGUAGGCCCAUAGAUAGCUUCACGAUGGGGCUGGUUGCCAAAGGAACCAACCAUGUUAAUUAAAGAGUGGAACUUUCAGGGCCACUGGUAUGAUUUGGCUGUGUCCCCACCGAAAUCUCAUCUUGAAUUGUAGUUCCUACAAUUCCCACAUGUUAUGGGAAGAAUCCAGUGUAAGGCAAUUGAAUCAUGGGAUGGGUCUUUCUCAUGCUGUUCUCAUGAUAGUGAAUAAUUCCCAUGAGAUCCAAUGGUUUUCUAAAGAGGAGUUCCCUGCACCAGCUGUUUCUUGCCUGCCACCAUGUAAGAUGUCCCUUGUUCUUCUGCCAUGAUUGUGAGGCCUCUCCAGCCAUGUGGAACCAUGAAUCAAUUAUACCUCUUCCCUUCAUAAAUUACACAGUGUCAGGUAUGUCUUUAUUAGCAGCAUAGAGCCACCCUUCCUUCAGGGAGGGGUAAAGGGGUCAAGAUUGAGUUAAUCACCAGUGGCCAAUGAUGGAAUCAAUCAUACCUCUGUUAUGGAGGCUCCAUUAAAAAACACUGGAGGACAGUGUUCUGAGGGUUCCAGACUGAUGAAUGCAUCCAUGUACCAGGAGUGGGGUGCAUCCCAACCCCGCAGGGAUGGAAGCUUAUGCACUCUGCCCCUUCUGGACCUCAUCCCGUGUGCUUCUUCCUUGAGUGUUCAUGUGUAUCCUUUAUAAUAAACAAGUAAGAGUAGUAUAGUCUUCUCCUUAGUUCUGUGAGCCCUGAGAAGGGAGUUUUAGGACUCCCCUGACCCCCAAUUUAUAGCCAGUCAGAAGUAUAGAGGGCCCAGAACUUGCAACUGGUGUCUGAAAUGGGGCAGUCUUGUGGGGCUCUAUGUUCACUCUGGGUAAUUAGUGUCAGAACUGAAUUGAAUUGAAUUACAGGAUACCUGGCUGCUGUCCAGAAAACUGGAGAAUUAGUUGGCGUGAGGAAAAAUCACCACAUUUGGUGUUAGAAGUGUUGUGAGUGAAACAGUGGAGAGCCACAUUGACAGCAUGCACCCUUGAUAGGCUUUGCUGAAAAUGGCAGCCCAGCCCUGUGGUCAUCCUCCAGAAAAGCCAUUGACACCAGUUCAAACAUGAGGAAAAGACCAGGUAGAACUAGGGACAGUAUACAAAAUACCUGAUCGCUGUUCCUCAAAACUGACAGGCCAUCAAAAACAAGGCAAGUAUGAACUCCAGUCACAAAACAAGGAGACAGGAUUAAACAUGACAUGGGAUCCUGGAUGUGGGAUCUUGGGAGAGAAAAAGGACCUUAGGGAAAACCUGGUAACAUCUGAAUAAAGUGUGGCAUUUAGUUAAUCGUCACGUGUUGGUGUUGGUUCCUUCAUUGUGACAAAACUCCCGUGGUAAUGUAAGAUGUUCACAUUGCAGGGACUUAGGUUAGCAGAAGAGGUGAACUUUGCAACCUUGCUAUCAAUCUAAAACUGUUCUACAAUAAAAGCUUUACAGUAAAAAACCACUAAGAAAAAUCUCUAGGAUUUGGCAGUUGAUUAGGUAAGGAGGGCAAGGGAGAAGGAGAAAUAAAGAUUUUGUCAAAGUCUGGCCUGAUUACCUUGCAAGUUAGCUAUGCUAGUGGACAGAAGUAACUGACUGUAGGAGGCGUUCUGGCUUGCAAUAGGAAGUAUGAAGUUGUGGUGCUAGGGAUGUAUCCAUGAAUGCGAUGUACUGUUUAACAGUUUAAAGUAAUACAAAUGCCCAGAAAGGGCUUUUGGGUUUUAGAUGUUUUGUUUAAAAUGACCUCUAGCCUCACAGCAUUUGGCAUUUAAAUUCUAAUUUAAGAAAGAAAGAUGAACUGGAUUAAAAAUAAAAUAGUGAUUGAACUUUGUAUAAAUAGCUGGACUCCUCCUCAUGUAUCUAUGUUUCUACGGGAGUAAAUUUAUCUUUAUGUCGUUAAUGCAUUGCUGGAGCUUGCAGUAGCUAGCAGCCCCUCUUUAUUUGCAGAAGGACUUAGAGUCACGUUGCCAAGUGAAACAUGAUGUAAGUGACUCAGCAGCAAGAGCCAGCCUUUUUUCUUUAGCUAGAAGUGCUAGAUGUGUUGACCCAAAUAUACUGAAGAGCAUGUUUUGUUUACUUCAGACAAGAAGUAAAAGCUUUGUUUGAGUCAUUCCUUUUUCUAUCUAUCCUAUUUAUAUUUUACAGCCAGCACUGCCUCAAAAAUGUACACAGCCAUUCAUCAGAGGCCUGCAAUGUCUGCCAUGCCUUAACAAUAUAUGACAUGUGUGAAAUUUAUCAAUGUAGAUAAAACCACAGGCAAGACCUCACGCCUGCAUAGGUCAUGAACGGGUCUUCACCAAAGAAGAAAUUCAGGUGGCAGUCCAUGUGCAAACAAAAUUAAACUUUGUGAGUAACAAGAGAUAUAUAAUUAAACUUGUGAAGAUAGCAAAGAAAUACAGGAGCCAGUGCUGGCAAGGGAAUGAGGAAGAGUGCACUGGCAGGAAUAUAGAGCAACGUAAUUUAGGGGGAGGGAAGCUUGAAAUAUAUAGUCCAGAUUUUAAAAUGUAUUUAACCUUUGUUUCAGUCACUACACUUCUAGAGACUAUCCUAAGGGAACAGGCAUAUAAAGAGAGGUGAAAAGAAUGAUGAUCUAAGCAUUGUUUAAAAUAGUAAAGCACUGUGAUAACAUCCAACAACAAGACAGACACUAGUUAGCUUCAGUGUUGUAGAUGUAGCUAUUGUAAUAGAAAGACUUGCAUUCAGUUUUUGGAAAAACUUCUUUCAAAAUGCAUUCGUAUAGUCCAGUUUAUACAAAAGGUGUGUGUGCAUGCAUGCUUCUAAAAGAACAUAUGUUACAUUUUAACUGCUUUUAAACUGUAAAUGAAAAUAAAAAUGUUUUCAUUCUAAACCACAAUGUGGACUCUCAGCGCUAAAUUCUGAGUGACGUAAGCUGUCCUUCUCUCAUAAAUUACUAUUAUUUUUGUAGAGCCUAAAACAUGUACCCAUCACCACCCAUAUGCUCCCUCUCCAAAAUAAUCCUGACUUUCUUAAAUAAAAAUUAUAGCUCAUCCUAAAUUAUUGAGAAAGAAUUUUCACUCAGUGUGAAGAACCUAGAGCUGUGUUAUAGAGAAGCCAGCUAACAGUUAUUGCUGCUUAGUUUUAUUUUAUGCUACGGUAGUUAACCAAAACAGUGCUUCAUAAAAAACACUAUACUUACAAAUACAGGGUGAAAAAGAGGAUUUCAGUGAGAAAGUGGGAUUUUCUUCACUUUGAUUUCAUUAAUUUACAUCUUGCCUCUUUCCAAAUGUAUUUAAAGUACCUAGAUCAUGUGCUAAACAUAAAAAAGGGCUCACACACAUGAACUAACCCACUGCACCAUCACACUGCCCCCAGGCUAGUAUGAUAAAAGGCAGGGAUGAUAAAAGGCAGAACAUAUUUCCAAAGACACUCAAGAUCUCUGAACUAGAGACUUCACCUUUAACACAUGAAUGAAAUGACUCAAAAAUCAUCUUUCUUCCAAAGUCAAUUGAAAACCAGUGUGGCCAUGUAGUUCAGAUCAGCCCAGGGGCAGAGCUUGAGAAGAAGAGCUGACUGUAGCCAGCAGGGGCCCUAAGUAAAUAAGGCUUCAUGUAACCAUAUACAGCCUGACAAGAGUAGUAGAAGAAAGGAAAAGGGGUGACCAAGGGGAAAGCGUUUAGAGGGCAUCUGCUCUUUGCCAAGCACUAAACUGAAAUGCUUAUUGUGUGCUGUCUCAUGCAGUAAGCUGCAGGCAUAUUCUAAUGUUCAGAUAGGAGUUUGAUCUAAAUAUUUCUAAAUAAAUCAGUCUUCUUCCUGAUGAUACCCUUACCAGCUGCUUGCCGUGGACCGCCAUCUCCAGAUCUGCCAGUCACCCAGCUAGCUGUUAAUUAUCCCAGAUUUCCCCUCCUCCCACCACUCUUGAGUAUCUCAUCAGCCACUUCUUAAACUGCCUGCCGCAGCCACAGUGAGGAGAGCUUGGGAUUAUUUGAAGAGAUCCACCAGAUACCUUGGAUUUCAGAGCCAGACUUGUGAGCAGGACUUCACUUUAGUCUUCCUCAUUGGUAUCUGCCUUUUUCCAGAAAGGAUUUGAAGUACCAAAAUCUUCCAACAGAAUGUGCGCCGUGAGACGUUUUGUAAGAGAGAGAAAUUUUACCAACUCUACGUAGAGGGGGCAGUAUAUACAAAAGCAAAACAAAGUGAACAAAGGAAAGAAAAGAAAUGUCCCACUAUGGUGGGAAUGAGCAACAGGAGAUGGGGAGAAAGACUGAGCACAGUUGCUCCUGGGAGUGGAGCUCCUUAUGAUGCGUUAGUGAUUCAGUAGGUGACACCUAUGAAGGGUGAUCACAGCUUUGUGGAAAGAGGUUUGUCUCUGAGCUUUUCCCAGUGCCUGGUAGGCUUCUUCUGUAUUAGGACAACUUCACACCAAGAUUCCUUCCAGAACCUUGAGCCUACUUAAUCCCAUCCCCAUUAUUUCUGCCAUGCUGAGCUACACAUACGAUGUCAACCUCUUUUAUGCUAACAUCCCCUUCUUG